CUUAGAAAUUUAGGGUUUAUCUUAGAUAUUCUUAUACUAUGAAGUAAGCUUAUAUAAGUAUUGUGAUAAUUCUACCAGAGUUCACUUGACUGUCCAGAGUCCAUCUAACCAAUCAUGUGUUUCAUGAGCUAGAUAGUCUCUAGGUAAGACACUCUAUGGGUGUGUCAUAAACUACAAUUACUGAAACAGGUAAUUCAGUUUUUAAAGAAAUUAACCUGGUAUGUAAAAGCCUUAGCAAAAUAGGACAGUAAAAAGUCAUCUCCAAUCAGUCUAAGAAACAACUCAGCCCAAGAGCUUCUUACAGACCUUGUAUUCCAGUAAAUAAGAAAGAAACACAAAAUACCAAGGAAGUUUGCCCUUUACAUCAAGGAGAGAAAAACAGGCCUUUCCUGAAUGAUUGAGAACAAAUUCAACAAAGAAAUGGUAAUUGAUGCAUGGAGAACACCUUUGUAAAAGUUCUACAAGACUGUAUUUAAAAUAACUUGUUCCAUCUAGCACCUAAUCUUAGUUUCUCCUAUAAAAUGACACAGGGCUCCUUGGAAAACUCACUAAUUCUAGAGUUGGGGCAGGAAAAGUACAAGUUGACCCUGGCCAUCAUGUAAUGACAAAAAAUUAAAAAGUGCUAAAAAAUUAAAAACACAGCUAUGGAUACAUGUCAAAAGGAUAUAAGGUGAGCUGAAAGAGUUCCCUGUGGCCAAAGCCAUAACAAUUUGAGCAAAAAAAAAAAAAUGAAUAAAUUUGUACUGGAUUAUAACCCAAAGUAUAAAAUAAAAAGACAUGAGUUAA
Molecule: long non-coding RNA, 786 nt
Organism: Leopardus geoffroyi (Geoffroy's cat)
Lineage: Eukaryota; Metazoa; Chordata; Mammalia; Carnivora; Felidae
Exons: 2
Source: RefSeq, a predicted model, not a curated record